UGCAAACGCAGGAGAUACAGUACUCCAGUACUGCACGGGUCAGCAAAUCUGCCCACUCGUUCCAACACCCUUUUCAUUUCAGAACAAAUAGAGUAUGGGGAUCACUGCAACAUUGUCAAGCCUUUCUGACACUUCAUCAGAAAACACAAGCAUAGGAAAUUUGUGGUCAUAUUUCUCGGCCUCCCAGGUGCACUCUUUUAUGAACAGAUCAUCGUUAGGGGGUUUUCAGUUACAAUUGAAAAGAUGUCUAAUGUCCUAAAGAACUAUCAGAAGUGACAGAAAUGCAAAAGUGGAAAGAGAAAUGUGACCAGUCACCCAUAAGAGAAAGAAUGAGAUCAAUGGUAAGCAAAUAUCUAAGUUAUUGUAUCUCUUUAAUUGAUAAUAAUUAUUACAGUAAUUAGUUCUUUAUUAAUUCUCUUCUUAGGUUUAACAUUGCUAAUAUUCCUUUUAUUUACUCUGAUUUUUGCUAGAACAAGGUUCACUGAGUUUUCCUAUUUAAUUCCUGAAAUCUUAUUCACCCUUGAAUUUUAUCAGUACUACCUUGCCAUUUCUGCUUAAUGUGUUCUUGUUUUGCACUUUUGCUCCUUAUCCAUUAUUCCAACUUCUCUAUUACCAGGAAUUUCUCCUUUGUCCAAUGCAAUUUGCAGAAGAAAAAAAAAAGGGGGGGGGGGGGGGAUACAUACACAUUCAAAUAAGAACACUGUUGAAAACAUUUUGGAAAGAGUGAAAGUGAACGAGAAGAAAUUGAUGUAUCCUACACACUCUAACACUGAGAUUAGCUUAGAAGUCUCUUUCUGUGACAUUUAGCUGAAAAGUUAUUUAUUUUCUUAUUAGCUGAGGUGUACUUCUUGACUAUAUCCUUGUAUCCUUUGCUUUCCUGGGAGACAAUAUCCAUUUGUAUCCCAUGUUUUCUUUUUAGAACCAUGUCUGCGGGUUUCUUGAGGUUCAGAAUUUCUUCCCUCCUCCCUGUUUCUUCAUUCUUGAUUCAGUCAGGAAGUGCUGAAGCAGCACCUCCUACAGCCGGAGCUGGAAAAAAAAUGUCCCUUUGGCUAAGGAUUGCUC
This 1062-nucleotide long non-coding RNA is filed under the name Gallus gallus (chicken). Lineage: Eukaryota; Metazoa; Chordata; Aves; Galliformes; Phasianidae. The record is from RNAcentral.